GACGAACGCUGGCGGCGUGCUUAACACAUGCCAGUCGAACGGAGAGGCCCUGCUUUUGUGGGAUGCGCGAGUGGCGAACAGGUGAGUAACACGUGAGUAGCCUGCCCUUGACUUUGGGAUAACUUCAGGAAACUGGGGCUCUUACCGGGUAGGAGCUCCUGCUGCAUGGUGGGGGUGGGAAAGUUUCGGCGGUUGGGGAUGGAAUCGCGGCUUAUCAGCUUGUUGGUGGGGUAGUGGCUUAACAAGGCUUUGACGGGUAGCCGGCCUGAGAGGGUGACCGGCCACAUUGGGACUGAGAUACGGGCCAGACUCCUACGGGAGGAAUGAGCGGGGAACAUUGCACAAUGGGCGGAAUCCGUAAGGAGCAACGCCGCGUCGGGGAUGACGGCUUGCGGGUUGUAACCCGGUUGCGCCUGUGACGAAGCGUGAGUGACGGUAAUGGGUAAAGAAGCACCGGCUAACUACGUG
This 468-nucleotide ribosomal RNA is filed under the name uncultured bacterium. RNAcentral's name for it is "partial 16S ribosomal RNA". It matches the Rfam family "Bacterial small subunit ribosomal RNA", at positions 28 to 507 of the family's 1533-position model. The record is from RNAcentral.